Molecule: long non-coding RNA, 792 nt
Organism: Sarcophilus harrisii (Tasmanian devil)
Lineage: Eukaryota; Metazoa; Chordata; Mammalia; Dasyuromorphia; Dasyuridae
Source: Ensembl
UGCCAUACCAACUGCCUUUCUCAAGUCUUUUUUUUUUUUUUUUCCUACAGGAGAGAAAAGAGGGGGGUUGUGGAGGGGAGGAAGGCUAAGCAGCCUGUGGGAGGGGUAGGGGUGAGGACCAGCCUGCUGUGCAGGACAAUUCAGUCUUAAGGAAAGCUUCCUUGGGUCCUGAAACGUGGGACUGAAAACUCCCAACAAUUGGCAUGUCACCUCAACCCAGGUCAUUCUGACCCAUGACCACCAGGAGGUCCAUAUUGAAGACUGAACUUCUUAAAGGCCAGCAAACUUGGCAUGCACUGGAUAAAGAGGAAAAAACAAAUUCCAGAGGCCUUUCUAAAGUGCUCCACACUCAAACAAAGCCCAUUGUUGCUGAUUGAAAGCCUGGAUUCCCUUUAAGAGGACACCUGCGUUACAGGACCAGUGAUUAGGAUUCCUGUAUCAAAUGCUUGAAGGGUCAACAAAGUUUAGGCAAGAAGUCAUUCCAGAACUGGGGAGAUUAUGGAGGUAGGAAAUUGGGAAUCAUGGAGAAUUUCCUAAAUAUUCUUUUUGCCUUCCCACAGUGCCCUCACUCCUCCCCUUUUCCAAUCAAUUGCAAAGUCCUGCUGAUUCUAUUUCAAUAAUUAUCAUUUACUUCUGCUCCCUCUUUCCCACUCCCUUUGCAGCUGCCCUAGCUCAGAAUUUCAUCUUGCCUAGAUGGCUGCAAUGGCUUCCUAACUGUUUUUUGUUUUGUUUUGCUUUUAGUUUUCUUUAGCUCAUCCUUCACUACAUCAUUCUGUCAUUCAAAAACACUUG